RNAcentral lists this ribosomal RNA (444 nucleotides) under uncultured bacterium. RNAcentral's name for it is "bacterial SSU rRNA". It matches the Rfam family "Bacterial small subunit ribosomal RNA", at positions 354 to 796 of the family's 1533-position model. The record is from RNAcentral.
GUAGGGAAUAUUGGGCAAUGGUCGGAAGACUGACCCAGCCAUGCCGCGUGCAGGAAGACGGCCCUCUGGGUUGUAAACUGCUUUUAUCUGGGAAGAAAAAGGCCAUGCGUGGCAAAUUGCCGGUACCAGAUGAAUAAGCACCGGCUAACUCCGUGCCAGCAGCCGCGGUAAUACGGAGGGUGCGAGCGUUGUCCGGAUUUAUUGGGUUUAAAGGGUGGGUAGGCGGCUGAUUAAGUCAGCGGUGAAAGACUUCGGCUUAACCGGAGCAGUGCCGUUGAUACUGGUUGGCUUGAGUGUCGGAGGGGUACAUGGAAUUGAUGGUGUAGCGGUGAAAUGCAUAGAUACCAUCAGGAACACCGAUAGCGAAGGCAUUGUACUGGCCGACAACUGACGCUGAUGCACGAAAGUGUGGGGAUCGAACAGGAUUAGAUACCCUGGUAGUCC